GACAGAGGGUGCAACCGUUGUUCGGAAUUACUGGGCGUAAAGCGCGUGUAGGCUGCUUCGCAAGUCGGAUGUGAAAGCCCUGGGCUCAACCCAGGAAGUGCAUUCGAAACUGCAGAGCUGGAGUCCUGGAGAGGAAGGCGGAAUUCUCGGUGUAGAGGUGAAAUUCGUAGAUAUCGAGAGGAACACCGGUGGCGAAGGCGGCCUUCUGGACAGUGACUGACGCUGAGACGCGAAAGCGUGGGGAGCAAACAGG
Molecule: ribosomal RNA, 253 nt
Filed under: uncultured bacterium
Lineage: Bacteria
Description: partial 16S ribosomal RNA
Rfam family: Bacterial small subunit ribosomal RNA
Source: RNAcentral